RNAcentral lists this non-coding RNA (77 nucleotides) under Cycloclasticus sp. P1. RNAcentral describes it as "SAH (S-adenosyl-L-homocysteine) riboswitch aptamer". It matches the Rfam family "SAH (S-adenosyl-L-homocysteine) riboswitch aptamer". RNAcentral also lists the same sequence under 1 other name. Lineage: Bacteria; Pseudomonadati; Pseudomonadota; Gammaproteobacteria; Thiotrichales; Piscirickettsiaceae. The record is from Rfam by way of RNAcentral.
UUGAAUAAGGAACGCUGCGACAGGAUCUUCCUGCUAGGCUUAUUCAAGCAGUCAAAUUUUAACUGCGUUCAUUAUUA